This 325-nucleotide unclassified non-coding RNA is filed under the name uncultured fungus. RNAcentral describes it as "partial contains 5.8S ribosomal RNA and internal transcribed spacer 2". The stretch from base 1 to 133 matches the Rfam family "5.8S ribosomal RNA", at positions 22 to 154 of the family's 154-position model. Lineage: Eukaryota; Fungi. The record is from RNAcentral.
UGGUUCUGGCAUCGAUGAAGAACGCAGCGAAAUGCGAUAAGUAAUGUGAAUUGCAGAAUUUAGUGAAUCAUCGAAUCUUUGAACGCACAUUGCGCCCAUUAGUAUUCUAGUGGGCAUGCCUGUUCGAGCGUCAUUUCAACCCUUAAGCCUCUGUUGCUUAGUGUUGGGAGCCUACGAUAGCGUAGCUCCUCAAAAUCAGUGGCGGAGUCGGUUUACACUCUAGACGUAGUACAUUUUAUCUCGCCUGUGAGUUAGACUGAUCCCUUGCCGUAAAACCCCUAAUUUUUAAAAGGUUGACCUCGGAUCAGGUAGGAAUACCCGCUGA